Molecule: transfer RNA, 73 nt
Filed under: Urocitellus parryii (Arctic ground squirrel)
Lineage: Eukaryota; Metazoa; Chordata; Mammalia; Rodentia; Sciuridae
Also listed under: 1 other name
Description: Spermophilus parryii (Arctic ground squirrel) tRNA
Rfam family: tRNA
About the family: Transfer RNA (tRNA) molecules are approximately 80 nucleotides in length. Their secondary structure includes four short double-helical elements and three loops (D, anti-codon, and T loops).
Source: Rfam by way of RNAcentral
GGGGAUAUAGCUCAGUUGGUAGAGUGCUUGCCUUGCAUGCAUAAGGCCCUGGGUUCAAUCCCCAACACCACCA